GCCCAGAUGGGAUUAGCUUGUUGGUGAGGUAACGGCUCACCAAGGCGACGAUCCCUAGCUGGUCUGAGAGGAUGACCAGCCACACUGGAACUGAGACACGGUCCAGACUCCUACGGGAGGCAGCAGUGGGGAAUAUUGCACAAUGGGCGCAAGCCUGAUGCAGCCAUGCCGCGUGUAUGAAGAAGGCCUUCGGGUUGUAAAGUACUUUCAGCGGGGAGGAAGGUGUUGUGGUUAAUAACCGCAGCAAUUGACGUUACCCGCAGAAGAAGCACCGGCUAACUCCGUGCCAGCAGCCGCGGUAAUACGGAGGGUGCAAGCGUUAAUCGGAAUUACUGGGCGUAAAGCGCACGCAGGCGGUCUGUCAAGUCGGAUGUGAAAUCCCCGGGCUCAACCUGGGAACUGCAUUCGAAACUGGCAGGCUUGAGUCUUGUAGAGGGGGGUAGAAUUCCA
This 450-nucleotide ribosomal RNA is filed under the name Salmonella enterica subsp. enterica serovar Enteritidis. RNAcentral describes it as "bacterial SSU rRNA". It matches the Rfam family "Bacterial small subunit ribosomal RNA", at positions 229 to 671 of the family's 1533-position model. The record is from RNAcentral. Lineage: Bacteria; Pseudomonadati; Pseudomonadota; Gammaproteobacteria; Enterobacterales; Enterobacteriaceae.